This 803-nucleotide ribosomal RNA is filed under the name uncultured Clostridia bacterium. RNAcentral's name for it is "bacterial SSU rRNA". It matches the Rfam family "Bacterial small subunit ribosomal RNA", at positions 35 to 827 of the family's 1533-position model. Lineage: Bacteria; Bacillati; Bacillota; Clostridia. The record is from RNAcentral.
GCUGGCGGCGUGCAUAACACAUGCGAGUCGAGCGAUGACUCUUAGAUGAUUUCUUCGGAAUGAACUUAAGACGGAUUAGUUGGCCGAGACGGGGUGAGAUAACACGCUGUAGUAACCCUGCCUUACACAAGGGGAUAGCCUUUGGAAACGAAGAAUAAUACCCUAUAACGUCAAUUUAUCGCAUGAUAGAAUGACCAAAGAUUUAUCGGUGUAAGAUGGACUUGCGUCUGAUUAUCUAGUUGGUGAGAUAAAGGCCCACCAAGGCAACGAUCAGUAGCCGGCUUGAGAGAGUGUACGGCCACAUUGGGACUGAGACACGGACCAAACUCCUACGGGAGGGAGCAGUGGGGAAUUUUGCACAAUGGGGGAAACCCUGAUGCAGCGACGCCGCGUGAUUGAGAAGGGAUUCCGGUUGUAAAAAUCUUUUUUAUGGGAUGAAAAUGACUGUACCAUACGAAUAGAGGUCCGGCUAAAUACGUGCCUGCAGCCGCGGUAAUACGUACGUACCGAGCGAUGUCCGGAAUCAUUGUACCGUAAAGAAUACGUAGGCGGCCUCGUACGUUAGAAGUGAAAUAAUACACCCCACCCAUAUAAGGGUUUGAAAAUGGCUAGGCCUGACAGUAGCCAGGGAAAGUAGAAUUCCCAGCGUAACGGUGAAAUGCGCAGAUAUUAUGUAGAAUACCAAUGCCCAGGGGGACUUUCUGGUCUUCUUAUGAACGUAAAGUACACAAAAGGUGGUUUGCAAAGAGAAUUAGAUACCCUGGGCUUGGCCACGCCGCCCACCAAAAAAAGGAAAGGUUGGG